GGGCGGUUAGCUCAGGGGGAGAGCACCUCGUUUACACCGAGGGGGGCGGCGGUUCGAUCCCGUCACCGCCCACCA
RNAcentral lists this transfer RNA (75 nucleotides) under Holosporales bacterium. Its description in RNAcentral is "tRNA-Val". It matches the Rfam family "tRNA". Rfam says of the family: Transfer RNA (tRNA) molecules are approximately 80 nucleotides in length. Their secondary structure includes four short double-helical elements and three loops (D, anti-codon, and T loops). Further hydrogen bonds mediate the characteristic L-shaped molecular structure. tRNAs have two regions of fundamental functional importance: the anti-codon, which is responsible for specific mRNA codon recognition, and the 3' end, to which the tRNAs corresponding amino acid is attached (by aminoacyl-tRNA synthetases). tRNAs cope with the degeneracy of the genetic code in two manners: having more than one tRNA (with a specific anti-codon) for a particular amino acid; and 'wobble' base-pairing, i.e. permitting non-standard base-pairing at the 3rd anti-codon position. Lineage: Bacteria; Pseudomonadati; Pseudomonadota; Alphaproteobacteria; Holosporales. The record is from RNAcentral.